AGCAAAAUGAAGAGGUUUUGUAAUCUGAAACUAUCUGAUGUUGAUACAUACAUUCAUGGUCAUGGUCUUCAAAGUUCUCUGAUUACU
RNAcentral lists this small nucleolar RNA (87 nucleotides) under Zea mays. RNAcentral describes it as "Small nucleolar RNA R160". It matches the Rfam family "Small nucleolar RNA R160". From Rfam's summary of the family: snoR160 is a C/D box small nucleolar RNA, which acts as a methylation guide for 25S ribosomal RNA in plants. snoR160 has been alternatively named snoZ270 in rice. The record is from Rfam by way of RNAcentral. Lineage: Eukaryota; Viridiplantae; Streptophyta; Magnoliopsida; Poales; Poaceae.